RNAcentral lists this ribosomal RNA (1372 nucleotides) under uncultured bacterium. Its description in RNAcentral is "bacterial SSU rRNA". It matches the Rfam family "Bacterial small subunit ribosomal RNA", at positions 28 to 1381 of the family's 1533-position model. The record is from RNAcentral.
GAUGAACGCUGGCGGCGUGCCUAAUACACGCAAGUCGAGCGAACGGACGAGAAGCUUGCUUUUCUGAUGUUAGCGGCGGACGGGUGAGUAACACGUGGAUAACCUACCUAUAAGACUGGGAUAACUUCGGGAAACCGGAGCUAAUACCGGAUAAUAUUUUGAACCGCAUGGUUCAAAAGUGAAAGACGGUCUUGCUGUCACUUAUAGAUGGAUCCGCGCUGCAUUAGCUAGUUGGUAAGGUAACGGCUUACCAAGGCAACGAUGCAUAGCCGACCUGAGGGGGUGAUCGGCCACACUGGAACUGAGACACGGUCCAGACUCCUACGGGAGGCAGCAGUAGGGAAUCUUCCGCAAUGGGCGAAAGCCUGACGGAGCAACGCCGCGUGAGUGAUGAAGGUCUUCGGAUCGUAAAACUCUGUUAUUAGGGAAGAACAUAUGUGUAAGUAACUGUGCACAUCUUGACGGUACCUAAUCAGAAAGCCACGGCUAACUACGUGCCAGCAGCCGCGGUAAUACGUAGGUGGCAAGCGUUAUCCGGAAUUAUUGGGCGUAAAGCGCGCGUAGGCGGUUUUUUAAGUCUGAUGUGAAAGCCCACGGCUCAACCGUGGAGGGUCAUUGGAAACUGGAAAACUUGAGUGCAGAAGAGGAAAGUGGAAUUCCAUGUGUAGCGGUGAAAUGCGCAGAGAUGUGGAGGAACACCAGUGGCGAAGGCGACUUUCUGGUCUGUAACUGACGCUGAUGUGCGAAAGCGUGGGGAUCAAACAGGAUUAGAUACCCUGGUAGUCCACGCCGUAAACGAUGAGUGCUAAGUGUUAGGGGGUUUCCGCCCCUUAGUGCUGCAGCUAACGCAUUAAGCACUCCGCCUGGGGAGUACGACCGCAAGGUUGAAACUCAAAGGAAUUGACGGGGGCCCGCACAAGCGGUGGAGCAUGUGGUUUAAUUCGAAGCAACGCGAAGAACCUUACCAAAUCUUGACAUCCUUUGACAACUCUAGAGAUAGAGCCUUCCCCUUCGGGGGACAAAGUGACAGGUGGUGCAUGGUUGUCGUCAGCUCGUGUCGUGAGAUGUUGGGUUAAGUCCCGCAACGAGCGCAACCCUUAAGCUUAGUUGCCAUCAUUAAGUUGGGCACUCUAAGUUGACUGCCGGUGACAAACCGGAGGAAGGUGGGGAUGACGUCAAAUCAUCAUGCCCCUUAUGAUUUGGGCUACACACGUGCUACAAUGGACAAUACAAAGGGCAGCGAAACCGCGAGGUCAAGCAAAUCCCAUAAAGUUGUUCUCAGUUCGGAUUGUAGUCUGCAACUCGACUACAUGAAGCUGGAAUCGCUAGUAAUCGUAGAUCAGCAUGCUACGGUGAAUACGUUCCCGGGUCU